RNAcentral lists this unclassified non-coding RNA (233 nucleotides) under Melitaea cinxia (Glanville fritillary). RNAcentral describes it as "misc RNA ENSMCXG00005019910.1". The record is from RNAcentral. Lineage: Eukaryota; Metazoa; Arthropoda; Insecta; Lepidoptera; Nymphalidae.
GCUGGGGGUGUUGGGGGUAUUGGGGCGAAAUGUCUCGUUUCCAAUUUUGAUAAGUGUGUACUAAAACUUCAACACAAUUGUAAUGUUCGAAAUAUAUCUCUAUCUAACUCAUCUAGCCACUCCAAAUGGAUAAUUUUGCAAUAUUCUACCAUACCAUGUUCAAUCUUUACAUAUCAUAUCAUAGGAUAAUUAAUCAAUCGAGGUCAAUAGUAAUAAAAACAUUAUUAGCUAAA